RNAcentral lists this ribosomal RNA (631 nucleotides) under Chamaenerion angustifolium. RNAcentral's name for it is "eukaryotic LSU rRNA". The stretch from base 252 to 407 matches the Rfam family "5.8S ribosomal RNA". Lineage: Eukaryota; Viridiplantae; Streptophyta; Magnoliopsida; Myrtales; Onagraceae. The record is from RNAcentral.
UUGUCGAAUCCUGCACAGCAGAACAACCUGAGAACCGGUUAAUAACCAACUGGGAUAAUGGGGGGCAUAUGCCCCCUGUGCUCCCGAGUUCCGUUGCUCUUGGGUAGCCCAACGGGUCCAAGACUUCGGGAAGUAACGAAACCCGGCACGGAAUGUGCCAAGGAACCUGAACAAGAUAAGUGCGGUCUUGGUACCCCCGUUCGCGGGGUGUGUCSGGAUCAACGCGCAAUCUUUUCUAUAAAUAUCGAAACGACUCUCGGCAACGGAUAUCUCGGCUCUCGCAUCGAUGAAGAACGUAGCGAAAUGCGAUACUUGGUGUGAAUUGCAGAAUCCCGUGAACCAUCGAGUCUUUGAACGCAAGUUGCGCCCUAAGCCAUUUGGCCGAGGGCACGCCUGCCUGGGCGUCAAUCAUCUAUUCGUCACCCCAACCUCUGCUCCCCAUAAAGGAGCUCGGGUCCUGGUUACGGAAGUUGGCCUCCCGUGGUCUCGAAGCGCGGCUGGCCUAAAAUUGAGCAUCGGGUUGGUGAUCUCCGAGGCACGCGGUGGUUGUUCAUUCUUACCUCGUGAUGUUGCCCCGGAGCAUCUUCCACAAGAAGCUCCACGACCCUAGAUACAUAUCGAUGCGACCCCA